GGUGAAGAACGUAGCGAAAUGCGAUAAGUAAUGCGAAUUGCAGAAUUCCGUGAGUCAUCGAAUCUUUGAACGCACAUUGCGCCCUCUGGUAUUCCGGAGGGCAUGCCUGUCUGAGCGUCAUUGUCAACCCUCAAGCUCAGCUUGCUGUUGGGUCCCCGUCGUUGCUUUAACGGCGGACCCGAAAGGUAAUGGCAGAGUCCGUGAGACCCUAGACGCAGCGAGCUUCUAGCACGCGUCUGGACGUUUUUCGGGCUCGGUCUUAACUAGAUGAUAACUUCCGAUUGACCUCAGAUCAGGUAGGGAUACCCGCUGAACUUAAGCAUAUCAAUAAGCGGAGGA
This 339-nucleotide unclassified non-coding RNA is filed under the name soil metagenome. RNAcentral describes it as "partial contains 5.8S ribosomal RNA, internal transcribed spacer 2, and large subunit ribosomal RNA". The stretch from base 3 to 120 matches the Rfam family "5.8S ribosomal RNA", at positions 37 to 154 of the family's 154-position model. The record is from RNAcentral.